ACGAACGCUGGCGGCGUGCUUAACACAUGCAAGUCGAACGAGAAUCUGCGGAAAGAGGAUUCGUCCAAUUGAAGCAGAGGACAGUGGCGGACGGGUGAGUAACGCGUGAGGAACCUGCCUUUCAGAGGGGGACAACAGUUGGAAACGACUGCUAAUACCGCAUGACACAUCGGAGUCGCAUGGCUCUGAUGUCAAAGAUUUAUCGCUGAAAGAUGGCCUCGCGUCUGAUUAGCUAGUUGGUGAGGUAACGGCCCACCAAGGCGACGAUCAGUAGCCGGUCUGAGAGGAUGAACGGCCACAUUGGGACUGAGACACGGCCCAAACUCCUACGGGAGGCAGCAGUGGGGAAUAUUGCACAAUGGGGGAAACCCUGAUGCAGCGACGCCGCGUGAGUGAUGAAGUAUUUCGGUAUGUAAAACUCUAUCAGCAGGGAAGAUAAUGACGGUACCUGACUAAGAAGCACCGGCUAAAUACGUG
This 477-nucleotide ribosomal RNA is filed under the name uncultured bacterium. RNAcentral describes it as "bacterial SSU rRNA". It matches the Rfam family "Bacterial small subunit ribosomal RNA", at positions 29 to 507 of the family's 1533-position model. The record is from RNAcentral.